GGGGCCGUAGCUCAGAUGGGAGAGCGCCGCAAUCGCACUGCGGAGGUCCGGGGUUCGAUUCCCCGUGGCUCCA
RNAcentral lists this transfer RNA (73 nucleotides) under Sphingomonas sp. PP-CE-1A-559. RNAcentral describes it as "tRNA-Ala". It matches the Rfam family "tRNA". Rfam says of the family: Transfer RNA (tRNA) molecules are approximately 80 nucleotides in length. Their secondary structure includes four short double-helical elements and three loops (D, anti-codon, and T loops). Further hydrogen bonds mediate the characteristic L-shaped molecular structure. tRNAs have two regions of fundamental functional importance: the anti-codon, which is responsible for specific mRNA codon recognition, and the 3' end, to which the tRNAs corresponding amino acid is attached (by aminoacyl-tRNA synthetases). tRNAs cope with the degeneracy of the genetic code in two manners: having more than one tRNA (with a specific anti-codon) for a particular amino acid; and 'wobble' base-pairing, i.e. permitting non-standard base-pairing at the 3rd anti-codon position. Lineage: Bacteria; Pseudomonadati; Pseudomonadota; Alphaproteobacteria; Sphingomonadales; Sphingomonadaceae. The record is from RNAcentral.